UGAUCCGUCGUGCCAGCAGGGCGCGGCGGCCCGGUUCCUGCCCUCGGCUCCUUGCUUCGGGCUGCACUCCCGUGAGGCGGGGCAAGGUCUCCCGAGGGUGAGCGUGAGGAGAUGGGAGCGUUAGUAGGGCGCUGGUCACCUUGUGGGGCAGUGCUCUAGCAUGGAGGACCGCAGAAUUGGCUGGAGAUUGCAGUAUGCAAACUGGCCCAUUCUGUUUGCUUCUAUCUUACCGCCAAGGAGUGAGGACAGGGGAUGUCACCACAGCUGGAACUUAAUGAAGCCUUGCUUUGGGUUUAUUCCUAGCAAGUAGUAGAAGGGAGAAGCAGCAGCACUCGUGAGGAUAGAACUAUUACCCUAUGCUGCAGAUGGCUUAUAAAAACAGCUGUGUGGAAGGCAAAUCUCAGCUCAGCUAAGAAGAAUGUCUGUCAAAACACGGCUUCUCUCACAGCGUGUGGAUGCUAGUCAUGUCCCAGUGUCAACAUUUGAGAACGGCUGCACGUGAAGUAGACUUAUUUGGCAGCCACAGUUAAUUUAUUUCAUCUCAUUAGUCUUUAAAUAGAGGCAGCAGGACCUUAGCUCUGUGCGCUAAAGCAGGCUGCUUGACCAGACACCUCAGGAACAUGGUCCUGUGAGUGGAUCUGCACAUUCCCUUUGCCUUCAGGCUGAGCCAGGAAACUCACCACGGGCCCUACCUGAGCUCAGUUUCCAAAAGCAUUUGAUAUGGUGGGUUUGAAAUAACGGAAGCCUAAAAUUAUCACAUUUUAAUUUGGAUGUGAUGCAGGAGUGCUUUCUGGAAGGACUGCCCAUUGCGAUAACCAGUCUCCACUUCCAUGUAUGGAGAUCAUGGCAGUGAAAUUAUAUGCGCUCCUGUUUGCCAUGUCACAGGGUUGAAAGCGUAGACAUUCGGCCCAGAAAAAGAAUUAGCAAGAGUGGAAAAAACGCUAUCUAUUAGUAUAAGGGAACUGAAAACAAACUAGUUACAGGCCUAGGAAAGCUGUACUUGUCUAAAACACUCUUCCCAGAGCAAAAGUCUUUACAAAUCUUUGUAAAUAAGAGCAGUAAAAGGAGGCAGCAGAACUACCACCAUGCCAGGAAGAAUGAGGAUCAAUUUCAAGUGGAAAUUUUGGUGUUUGGGAGUUUUGAUGUCAGUAUCUCAUUACUGCCUACUCCCUUCUUCAAAAGCAGUUGAAGGGGAGCGGUGGGGGGGAGGGACGGACUGAUACAAGGUCAGUCCCAGAGACAAUAAGGAGCAGCUGUGAAAUGAAAGUGGAAUGAAUAUUCACAGGGUGACGUUACAGUUCCUGACUCGAUGCUGCUGCUCCUCCUGUGGGUCCUGCCAGCACAGCAGAUGGCAGACACUGAGGGACUGUUUUGCCAGUGGAAAAUUACUGAGUUUUGCUGGUCCUGCGUAUGGGUGUGUGAGGGGCAAAGUGGGCUAUCCACAUGGAAGUUUCUUUCACUUGCAGUGGAAUCACCUCCGUUGUGGCUGAAGUCAAGGGGUACCUAACAUGAAUACAGUUAGGCAUACCCGAAGCCCUUGAUGGUCUGCACACUUAAAGAAAGCAACAACCAAAUACUCAUCAUGAGGUGAACCAUGGCAGAACCACUGUGCAAAUGACUGUGCAUUUCUUCCCCAAACGAAUGGGGCAGAGAUAACAGAAAUACAGAAAGUUUUCACCAAAACUGUGAUGCAACCUAACAGUGCUUGCUCAAUAAUUUAUGUAUGUGUAUAUUUGUGAAGUUAGCUCUUCAUUUAGAGGUAUAAGAACCUAUUCACUGUGUGGAAGAAUAUCUCUAAAAGUUGCCAGGCGGUGGAUUUAGUAGGCAUUUUGAAACAAAAUCUUUCUUCUAACUGUGUGCUUCUGCAUGCUGCGUGAUUUCUAAGUCCUGCAUGCCACAACAAGCAGUGUGAGAUUCUGUGCCCUCUGCUCAGCUGAUUCUGGCUGCAGGAUGAAGAUACACCCCGGUGUGCAGCAAUUAAAGGCAAAUACAAAAGCUUAAAUGCUGCUUGUCAAAUUCCACGAAUCUCUGAAGCCUUAACCCCUCCAGCUCCUCAGCCCACCAAAAAAAAAAUAAAAUAAAUAAAAAAAAAUCUAGGAAAGAUCCGUAACAAAACAGUAUAAUGCUCUCAUUAUUGUAAUUCAAAAGAGGGAUAUCAUAUCUGUGAAUGGACUUUUGUUUGAGAUUUGACAUAAAUUGCUGUCUUCUGCAAUCAAUUGGUGUAACAAAAACCAGUUGUUAUAUCAGUCAUGCUGCAGUUUCUCUCGGAAGGAAAGUUCUUCACUAUGAAAAAUCCUUCUCAGCAUCAGAAACACGUUUAAUUUACAUUUAGUUUGCAAAUAGCCAAUCAAUGCAACAUUUAGGAAUCAAUUAUGAUUUUUCUUUCUUGCUUUCUUACUAUUUUGUCUGUAUUUCUUCAAAAGAAGCAAAACAAUGCUAAAGAUUUUGCGACUGAUCAAGAAACAAUGCUUUACUAGGUAAACAUAAUGCAGAUCAUGCAGAAACAUUCAGACUGACUUUCUGGUGUCCGUAAUACUUUUUUUAGCUACUUUUGAUAGUUUUUAAUAAUUGUUUAAUCUGGAGAAGAGGAGGCUCAGGGGAGACCUUAACCCUCUCUUCAACUACCUGAAGUUAUGGCAAGGUGGGUGUCAGCCUCUUCUCCCUUGUAACUAGUGAUAGGACUAGAGGAAAAGGUCUCAAGUUGCGCUAGGGGAGGUUCAGGUUGGAUAUUAAGAAAAAUUUCUUCUCUGAAACAGCGGUCAGACACUGGUUAAGAAUGGGCUGCCCAAGGAGGUGGUGGAGUCACUGUCCCUGGAAGUGUUCAGGAAGUGUUUAGAUGUGGUACUAAGGGAUGUGGUUUAAGAAAUAUUGGGGAAAAUAUUGGUGUUAGGUGGAUAAUUGGACUGGAUGGUCUUUAAGGUCUUUUCCAACCUUGGUGACUCUAUGAUUCUAUCUUCUCUGAAACAUUUCCUUAUCUGGUAUGUUACGGGAAAGUGAAGAGACCAGCAUUUCACUAUUUGUGGUGCGGGUGAACUUAUACACAGGCAAAAAUUUCUUGCCUUCCAUCUUAAUUUGAAGACAGAAUGCACUCUUUGCUAUGUCUGUUAAAACUCAUAACAGACAUGUUAUGUUUUUAGUGAAAUACUUUUCAGAGGCAUUUGCGACAAUCCAGCUCUGUUCAAUACAACCAACUACAGGCUGUUGCUGUCUCCACUCACUUUCUUAGAAAAUUCUAAUUUCUACUUCCCUGAAAGCCCAGAUAAUUUUCUUUACAUUAAUAACACCUAUGUCACUGAGAAACUAUUUUUGUUUCCACAUGUGUAGUCUAAGGAACAAAACAAUUCAUUGAGCUGAACAAAAUCAAGAAAGUCCCCUUACAGACUGUCAGUUUGUAUCCUGAAUGUCUGAAUGAAUUACAACUGUUCUUUCAAAAACAGUAUUUUGCCAAUUU
Non-coding RNA from Meleagris gallopavo (turkey), 3451 nucleotides. The record is from RefSeq and is a predicted model, not a curated record. Lineage: Eukaryota; Metazoa; Chordata; Aves; Galliformes; Phasianidae.